UACGGAGGGUGCGAGCGUUGUCCGGAAUCAUUGGGCGUAAAGGGCGCGUAGGUGGCCUGCUAAGCGUGCGGUGAAAGUCGGGGGCUCAACCCCCGAUCGGCCGUGCGAACUGGGAGGCUUGAGCACUGUAGAGGCAGGCGGAAUUCCGGGUGUAGCGGUGGAAUGCGUAGAGAUCCGGAGGAACACCGAUGGCGAAGGCAAUCCCCUGGGCCUGCACUGACGCUCAUGCACGAAAGCGUGGGGAGCGAUCCGG
Molecule: ribosomal RNA, 253 nt
Filed under: uncultured bacterium
Lineage: Bacteria
Description: partial 16S ribosomal RNA
Rfam family: Bacterial small subunit ribosomal RNA
Source: RNAcentral